UGCGAAUGCUGACAUAAGUAACGAUAAAGCGGGUGAAAAGCCCGCUCGCCGGAAGACCAAGGGUUCCUGUCCAACGUUAAUCGGGGCAGGGUGAGUCGACCCCUAAGGCGAGGCCGAAAGGCGUAGUCGAUGGGAAACGGGUUAAUAUUCCCGUACUUGGUGUUACUGCGAAGGGGGGACGGAGAAGGCUAUGUUGGCCGGGCGACGGUU
This 210-nucleotide ribosomal RNA is filed under the name Salmonella enterica. RNAcentral's name for it is "partial 23S ribosomal RNA". It matches the Rfam family "Bacterial large subunit ribosomal RNA", at positions 1289 to 1503 of the family's 2925-position model. Lineage: Bacteria; Pseudomonadati; Pseudomonadota; Gammaproteobacteria; Enterobacterales; Enterobacteriaceae. The record is from RNAcentral. RNAcentral also lists the same sequence under 2 other names.